AGGGAUCAUUACCGAGUUUACAACUCCCAAACCCAAUGUGAACCAUACCAAACUGUUGCCUCGGCGGGGUCACGCCCCGGGUGCGUCGCAGCCCCGGAACCAGGCGCCCGCCGGAGGGACCAACCAAACUCUUUUCCGUAGUCCUCUCGCGGACGUUAUUUCUUACAGCUCUGAGCAAAAAUUCAAAAUGAAUCAAAACUUUCAACAACGGAUCUCUUGGUUCUGGCAUCGAUGAAGAACGCAGCGAAAUGCGAUAAGUAAUGUGAAUUGCAGAAUUCAGUGAAUCAUCGAAUCUUUGAACGCACAUUGCGCCCGCCAGUAUUCUGGCGGGCAUGCCUGUCCGAGCGUCAUUUCAACCCUCGAACCCCUCCGGGGGGUCGGCGUUGGGGAUCGGGAACCCCUAAGACGGGAUCCCGGCCCCGAAAUACAGUGGCGGUCUCGCCGCAGCCUCUCCUGCGCAGUAGUUUGCACAACUCGCACCGGGAGCGCGGCGCGUCCACGUCCGUAAAACACCCAACUUCUGAAAUGUUGACCUCGGAUCAGGUAGGAAUACCCGCUGAACUUAA
RNAcentral lists this ribosomal RNA (566 nucleotides) under uncultured Trichoderma. RNAcentral describes it as "eukaryotic LSU rRNA". The stretch from base 197 to 350 matches the Rfam family "5.8S ribosomal RNA". The record is from RNAcentral. Lineage: Eukaryota; Fungi; Ascomycota; Sordariomycetes; Hypocreales; Hypocreaceae.